UAUGUGAUCGUCUCUCGCAUAUCAAUAAGCGGAGGAAAAGAAACUAACAAGGAUUCCCCUAGUAACGGCGAGUGAAGCGGGAAGAGCUCAAAUUUGAAAUCUUAAAGGGUUUCCCUUUACGAAUUGUAGUUUAAAGAAGUGUUUUCUGUUGAGGUUUUGGUAAAAGUUCUUUGGAAUAGGACAUCAUAGAGGGUGAGAAUCCCGUAUUUGACCUUUACUUUCAACUUUGUGAUACACUUUCAAAGAGUCGGAUUGUUUGGGAAUGCAGUCCAAAAUGGGUGGUAAAUUUCAUCUAAAGCUAAAUAUUGGCGAGAGACCGAUAGCGAACAAGUACCGUGAGGGAAAGAUGAAAAGAACUUUGAAAAGAGAGUUAAACAGUACGUGAAAUUGUCAAAAGGGAAGCGUUUGACACCAGUGUUGUUUUUCUGAAAAUCAAUUAAAGAACUGUUUAUGCUAAGUUGUUUAGACUUUAUCAGCUAACUGUUUAGUUUUGAGCUUUUCUUUAAUGCACUUUUCAGUUAACAAGUCAACAUCAAUUUCUUUUGCUGUAAAAAAGCUUGAGGAAGGUGGCUUGAGAUUCGUCUUAAGUGUUUAUAGCCUCUUGCCUAUGCAGUCAGAGAGAUUGAGGUCUGCAGCGUAGAUCCUUCGGGGCUAAAUGCAUUUGUGCUAAGUUAUAGCAUUUUAUAGACAACUUGUUGACUAUGAUUUGUCUUGUAGCUUACUCGCUUAUGUUAUUUUACCUACGCUUAGGAUGUUGACACACGCGCGUGCUCG
This 774-nucleotide ribosomal RNA is filed under the name uncultured Neocallimastigales. Its description in RNAcentral is "partial large subunit ribosomal RNA". It matches the Rfam family "Eukaryotic large subunit ribosomal RNA", at positions 24 to 643 of the family's 3401-position model. Lineage: Eukaryota; Fungi; Neocallimastigomycota; Neocallimastigomycetes; Neocallimastigales. The record is from RNAcentral.